GCGGAUCCGCGGAUCCCUCCGCCCUUCUAGUCACGGAACCGGGCCGAACCAGCCCGUAAACCGUUGACACCUACAAAGUGAGACAUGAGAACGCAAAAGGCACAGAACUACAUCUCUGGAAACAAUAAUGCAGCUAUUACUGCCAUCCAUCCCUUUGGUUUAGAAGACAGGAGUCCUCCAGCUGCAGCUGACAAGCAGCAUUGAAACUCGGAGUGGCAAAUGUUUGCAAAGCAGUAUUUCUCUGUGUAAGUUUAGUGGGCAUCAAAAGCUUUGGUCUGACACCUUCUGGAGACCUGAGCCUCUCUACAGUAUGUGUCGCACUGGCCAAUGGAUUACAAAUUUUAGGAGGACACAGGAAGAAGAGAAAGAUCACAUUGCCUCUGUUUCUUUAGGCAAAAAUUCAUGAGAACACUCUAUGAAGUCAUACAUUAGGUAUUAUUCCUUGAAAUAGUCACAGUUCCUCUCAUCAGUGAUAUUCCAGAGUUGGUCAUUCAGAGUGACAGGAAACUGCUUGAAGUUUGAAACUUGUCCUGACAGCCUGAGCAACGAUACCAGCCCAUGUCUGCCUAACAGCAAAGGUCUGAACUGACAGAGCCUGACCCCUACCACUACUGUGCUGCAGGAAGCUACAAGACAGCUGGAACAGUCUACAAGCAUAUAAAAGCCUCUCAGUACAAAUCAGAUGUUCUGUGCAAAAAAGCCCCACAUUUCGGCUCUGUGAAUGGAAACCUCUCUGCUUGUGUAUCUACUGUGUACAUACACUACAAAAGAUCUAUAGAAAUCACAGAAUAGAAACCUUUAAGUUAUGGCCAAAUACAUUUAAUAUUAAUAUUUGAUAUUUAACACAUGAAGCACAUUCAUUCAACAGUGUAUUUCCUAAUCCUACUGGCAUUUGUUGCUCAAGAGGGGUAGAAUUCCCAGAUUUUGCUGUAACCAGAUGAAACACCCGUACGCUUGCCUUUCUGCCACCAGCAUUCUUCUGCCUGCAUUGAUUUAUCAAACAAUGCAAGCUGGUAGCAAUAUUCCACAUAUGUUCACUUUGUGUAAUCCUCAAAAAACAAAGGAGCUCAGAUGUGUGAACAAAGUGAAUGUAAUUCCUGCAUAAACCAUUUGCAGUAUUUUUUCUUUCUGAGUAGUAAGCAGAAAUGCUGGCUUUGCUUCCGGAUUUCUGGUUAUCUUCAGUAAGAUCAUAAUCAAUCUUAUUCUUUGUGUAAAUCUAAAGCAUGGUUUUGAAUAGAAAAAAAAAGCAACACAUAGAAAAAAAAAGCAUAGGAAAUAGCAAAAGCAGUAUUCCCUGCACAAGAAUAUAGAUUUACAGUGACAUAUAUUGUCUCAGCUUUUCUCUAAGACAACAAAAUCAUAUUCAAAGAUAACAGGGCAUAGAGUGAACCUAAAUCUCUAUACUGUGUAUGUCUCUAAGAACAAGAGGAACAACACAUUGCUCUGUUUUAAAAAAUCUGAAAUGCCAUAUGAAUAACUAAAAGAAAAUUAGUUCAAUUUCUGACACCACUAAUUUUAAAUAAAUAAAUCACAGCAUC
Non-coding RNA from Meleagris gallopavo (turkey), 1538 nucleotides. NCBI's taxonomy places the organism in Eukaryota, Metazoa, Chordata, Aves, Galliformes, Phasianidae. The record is from RefSeq and is a predicted model, not a curated record.